Long non-coding RNA from Trachymyrmex cornetzi, 271 nucleotides. RefSeq lists it as uncharacterized. The transcript is spliced from 4 exons. The record is from RefSeq and is a predicted model, not a curated record. NCBI's taxonomy places the organism in Eukaryota, Metazoa, Arthropoda, Insecta, Hymenoptera, Formicidae.
CUAGCCGUUUUGAUACAUAGUUGGUUGAUACCAAAAACAUUCUUUGGUUGAUACCACGCUGUACCUAGCAAUAAAACAGUGUACCGAUUUUAAAUUUCUGAUAAAUAUGGAUAACUACUUAAUAUGUACCGAUGAUCAAGGUCAACCGAUUUUGGAUGAAAGUGGAAAAACGAUACUUUUUUGCCCGCAAACAGGUGCUUUAAAAGUUAUGGAAGACCCAUCAACUUCAUGUACAAGUGAUAUCAACAAUGAAACACAAGAAAGUACUGGA